RNAcentral lists this ribosomal RNA (343 nucleotides) under uncultured Prevotella sp. RNAcentral's name for it is "partial 16S ribosomal RNA". The record is from RNAcentral. Lineage: Bacteria; Pseudomonadati; Bacteroidota; Bacteroidia; Bacteroidales; Prevotellaceae.
GGAGUUUGGACCGUGUCUCAGUUCCAAUGUGGGGGACCUUCCUCUCAGAACCCCUACUGAUCGAUGGCUUGGUGGGCCGUUACCCCGCCAACAACCUAAUCAGACGCAUCCCCAUCCCAUAGCGGUGAACCUUUGUUCCAAAUUAGAUGUCUGCUUCGGAAAACAUAGGGUAUUAAUCCGCAUUUCUACGGGCUAUGCCCUACUAUGGGGAAGGUUGGAUACGCGUUACUCACCCGUGCGCCGGUCGCCAUCGACAAAAGCAAGCUUUCGUCAUGAUGCCCCUCGACUUGCAUGUGUUAAGCACGCCGCCAGCGUUCGUCCUCGAGCCACUGAUCAAACUACU